GCAGUGGUCCGCCGCCACUGCUCGCCGCCACACGCCGCCUCCGCGUCUCCUGCCGCCCUCACAGGUAGAAAAUCUCCUCCUUGCUCCUACAAUCAGGUAUGUGGGAUUUGAAGACGAAGAGAAUACUGAAGCUGACGACAGCUGUGGGUGGCGUGUUCGUAAGAGAGCCAACAGAAUGACAAUAGCAUCAGUAUCACAGUGACAACAUCCAUCAUGAACAACAGAGUUGCUCUUGCUGGUGAAGAUACUAACACCGCGGGUGAUGCUUUAUUCCUGUUGAUACCAGUUAGUUAACAGCUGCGGAUGCUGGAUCAAAGAAUAACAGUGGAGAAUUUACAGAAGAUGGAGUCAUACACAAUACGAUGAAUUUUGGUCGUGUCACCACCUGCAUUUUGUAAGCCUACGUCAGGAUUACAGUCGCUGUGUUUAAGACUAUCAAGACUAAACAGGUCUCACUGACGUUGCUGCCCUAUAGCUGUCGCUGUGUAAAUGAAACGGAGAAUGUUCUCUGAAAUGCCAUCAGCAAAACAUUCUUUUGUAUUAACUCCCCCUUAAUCCGAAGACUUCGAAGGACAGGAACAUCCUAAGAAAUCAGUUCGUCGGCCUUUACACAUAUUAAAGAUAGUAAAAUACAUGAUACUUCACACUAAUAAAGAAUCUGAAAGGGUCUGCUGGUGCACGUGGACUAACCCAACAUCCCAAACACAAAAAUGAUUCUGCAGAUCCAAAAGAGUAACAAGCUCGGUCCAGAGAUACGGUUUAAGUGUAAGGGGCAAUCAAAUGGAUACGAGACAGAUGGAAAAGUAAGUAAAUUCACUAUCGUUUCGAAAGUAAUCACCAUAACUGUUAAUACAUUUAACACAUGUGAGACAAUGCCUUCAUGGAAAAAUGCUUUCUCUCGCCUACGGAAUCAUGGUUGCACCCAAGCGUGCACAUCUUCGUCAGAAGCAAAUGGACAACUACGAAUUUCUUUAUUCACGGCUCCAAAAAAUAUGGGAAAUCCCAUGGGGAGAAAUCGAGACUGUAUGGACGAUGUGCAAGUGCUUCCCAGUGAAAUGCCUGGAGUGUAUUCGAAACAACCGUGGCAACAUGCGGGCACAUGAUGGCGGACAUUAUCCUGUAACACAAUGGCGCCGACCGUCAACCCCCUGCUCACUGACUUUUUUGGAACAAGGUGCCACAGUUGGUGCACAACGGUGCUUGGGUACUUUGCAAAAUUGAAACGAGCUAUCAAGUCCAAACGCCCAGGAAUGCUGACCGACAGAAAUAUUGUGUUGCAAUGUAAAGCCCGUCUACAUGAUUCCAUGGUUGUUUCGACUAGGCUGCAGAAUUUCGGCUAGGAAGACCUUAUACAUCCUCCAAAUGAUCUCGAUUUCUCCACAUGUGAUUUCCAUGUUUCUGGAGCCCAGGAAAAAGACAUUCGUGGCAGUCGAUUGGCUUCGGACGAAGAGGUGCCCGCAAUAGUGGUUCCGUAGGCAAACCCAAACAUUUUUCCAUGAAAGCAUUGACAUUCUUCUCAGAGUGGGGUAAUUGUAUUAUCAAAUACGAUGUUUACUUUUGAAAAAAUAAACAGUUUAUUUACUUUUUUCAUCUGUUUUGCUUUCGUUUGUCUGCCCCUUCCAUACGUAGGAAGAAAAAGGUAUAGCAAGAUACUCUCCUGGAUCAGUAAUUGAUGUCUGAAGAAGAACUUCGAUUGCUUGUUAGUUGACGGGAGAAAUAUGAUGCGCCCGACCAUCCAGAUUUAGGUUUUCCGUAGUGCCCUUUACUUAAUCUAAUUAUCAGGUCGAUUCUGGAUUUGAUGUCUUUCUUUUUUAUCAUACUGUCUUAUUUGCGCCUCUGCAUUCUGUUGCUUUUUCCUUUAUAAUACAAACACACAUGGUGGUACAUAUGAAAUGCGGGUGGUUUGGAUUUUUUCUGCUGCUCCACACUUCUUAUGCUAUGACAGCAGCAUUAACAACUGUCAGCUGCGCCUUAUACUUCGUUUCGAUAGACUGUUGCUGUCAACAUAUCAUUAUCACAUGAAACUUUUGUACAUUUUUUAAGCUCGCACAGUCAUUCAUUGCAAUAUUUUCACUACUGGUAAGUUAUAAUACUUAGUUGGUUGCGUGUUCCAUUGAUACAUAUGAAAUGCGGGUGGUUUGAAUUUUUUCUGCUACUACACACUUCUUAUGCUAUGACAGCAGCAUUAAUAACUGUCAGCUGCUCCUUAUACUUCGUUUCGAUAGACUGUUGCUGUCAACAUAUCAUUAUCACAUGAAACUUUUGUACAUUUUUUAAGCUCGCACAGUCAUUCAUUGCAAUAUUUUCACUACUGGUAAGUUAUAAUACUUAGUUGGUUGCGUGUUCCAUUGAUCAAUCGCACGGUACGGUAACCGUUAUGAUGUGGAACGUGUCAAGUGCACAAGAAAUGUACAUAUGGAACAAGAUUUUUUUAUAUAUAUUACAAUACAGAGUUAAAGAUUAA
This is a long non-coding RNA of Schistocerca gregaria, 2464 nucleotides long. RefSeq lists it as uncharacterized. Lineage: Eukaryota; Metazoa; Arthropoda; Insecta; Orthoptera; Acrididae. The record is from RefSeq and is a predicted model, not a curated record. The transcript has 4 exons.